UUCCUGAUACAUAUUGAUGUCCUUAUGCUGUGUAUUAAUGUCCUUAUAUUCUCUCCUCUCCUUACAGUCGUUGCGUCACUUGUGUUCAGUGAUUCCUGGUAGAGAUGAUAUUGAGACUUUUCGUUUGAAAAUGAUUUUAAGAUUAUUACAAAUACCAAGCUUUAGUGGGAAAAUGAACGCCCUCAAUGAAAUUAAUAAGAUUGUCCCUUCAAUGAGUUAUCAUCCUCACUUCAGGACAAUAGGAGAUGAGGAACAACUUACCACUGAAAGAA
Amphimedon queenslandica is the source of this 272-nucleotide long non-coding RNA. RefSeq lists it as uncharacterized. The transcript is spliced from 2 exons. The record is from RefSeq and is a predicted model, not a curated record. NCBI's taxonomy places the organism in Eukaryota, Metazoa, Porifera, Demospongiae, Haplosclerida, Niphatidae.